Molecule: unclassified non-coding RNA, 267 nt
Filed under: uncultured fungus
Lineage: Eukaryota; Fungi
Description: partial contains small subunit ribosomal RNA, internal transcribed spacer 1, and 5.8S ribosomal RNA
Rfam family: Eukaryotic small subunit ribosomal RNA (bases 1-73)
Source: RNAcentral
ACAAACUUGGUCAUUUAGAGGAAGUAAAAGUCGUAACAAGGUCUCCGUAGGUGAACCUGCGGAGGGAUCAUUACUGAGUGAGGGUGAAUUGACACCCGACCUCCAACCCUUUGUGAUUAAGACCUCUGUUGCCUCGGGGGCGACCCAUUCGGGGCCCCCGACGGACCAUUUCAAAACGCUGUAUCUAUGCGUCGAAUUCAAUAAAGUUAAAUAAUCAAAACUUUCAACAACGGAUCUCUUGGUUCUGGCAUCGAUGAAGAACGCAGC